RNAcentral lists this ribosomal RNA (99 nucleotides) under Mammaliicoccus sciuri. RNAcentral describes it as "Staphylococcus sciuri partial 16S ribosomal RNA". It matches the Rfam family "Bacterial small subunit ribosomal RNA", at positions 1 to 90 of the family's 1533-position model. Lineage: Bacteria; Bacillati; Bacillota; Bacilli; Caryophanales; Staphylococcaceae. The record is from RNAcentral.
ACUUCUUUUAUGGAGAGUUUGAUCCUGGCUCAGGAUGAACGCUGGCGGCGUGCCUAAUACAUGCAAGUCGAGCGAACAGAUGAGAAGCUUGCUUCUCUG